RNAcentral lists this ribosomal RNA (482 nucleotides) under Salmonella enterica. RNAcentral describes it as "bacterial SSU rRNA". It matches the Rfam family "Bacterial small subunit ribosomal RNA", at positions 1050 to 1532 of the family's 1533-position model. RNAcentral also lists the same sequence under 3 other names. The record is from RNAcentral. Lineage: Bacteria; Pseudomonadati; Pseudomonadota; Gammaproteobacteria; Enterobacterales; Enterobacteriaceae.
UGUCGUCAGCUCGUGUUGUGAAAUGUUGGGUUAAGUCCCGCAACGAGCGCAACCCUUAUCCUUUGUUGCCAGCGAUUAGGUCGGGAACUCAAAGGAGACUGCCAGUGAUAAACUGGAGGAAGGUGGGGAUGACGUCAAGUCAUCAUGGCCCUUACGACCAGGGCUACACACGUGCUACAAUGGCGCAUACAAAGAGAAGCGACCUCGCGAGAGCAAGCGGACCUCAUAAAGUGCGUCGUAGUCCGGAUUGGAGUCUGCAACUCGACUCCAUGAAGUCGGAAUCGCUAGUAAUCGUGGAUCAGAAUGCCACGGUGAAUACGUUCCCGGGCCUUGUACACACCGCCCGUCACACCAUGGGAGUGGGUUGCAAAAGAAGUAGGUAGCUUAACCUUCGGGAGGGCGCUUACCACUUUGUGAUUCAUGACUGGGGUGAAGUCGUAACAAGGUAACCGUAGGGGAACCUGCGGUUGGAUCACCUCCUU